This 950-nucleotide ribosomal RNA is filed under the name Lactiplantibacillus plantarum. RNAcentral's name for it is "bacterial SSU rRNA". It matches the Rfam family "Bacterial small subunit ribosomal RNA", at positions 269 to 1208 of the family's 1533-position model. The record is from RNAcentral. Lineage: Bacteria; Bacillati; Bacillota; Bacilli; Lactobacillales; Lactobacillaceae.
CAUGGCAAUGAUACGUAGCCGACCUGAGAGGGUAAUCGGCCACAUUGGGACUGAGACACGGCCCAAACUCCUACGGGAGGCAGCAGUAGGGAAUCUUCCACAAUGGACGAAAGUCUGAUGGAGCAACGCCGCGUGAGUGAAGAAGGGUUUCGGCUCGUAAAACUCUGUUGUUAAAGAAGAACAUAUUCUGAGAGUAACUGUUCAGGUAUUGACGGUAUUUAACCAGAAAGCCACGGCUAACUACGUGCCAGCAGCCGCGGUAAUACGUAGGUGGCAAGCGUUGUCCGGAUUUAUUGGGCGUAAAGCGAGCGCAGGCGGUUUUUUAAGUCUGAUGUGAAAGCCUUCGGCUCAACCGAAGAAGUGCAUCGGAAACUGGGAAACUUGAGUGCAGAAGAGGACAGUGGAACUCCAUGUGUAGCGGUGAAAUGCGUAGAUAUAUGGAAGAACACCAGUGGCGAAGGCGGCUGUCUGGUCUGUAACUGACGCUGAGGCUCGAAAGUAUGGGUAGCAAACAGGAUUAGAUACCCUGGUAGUCCAUACCGUAAACGAUGAAUGCUAAGUGUUGGAGGGUUUCCGCCCUUCAGUGCUGCAGCUAACGCAUUAAGCAUUCCGCCUGGGGAGUACGGCCGCAAGGCUGAAACUCAAAGGAAUUGACGGGGGCCCGCACAAGCGGUGGAGCAUGUGGUUUAAUUUGGAGCUACGCGAAGAACCUUACCAGGUCUUGACAUACUAUGCAAAUCUAAGAGAUUAGACGUUCCCUUCGGGGACAUGGAUACAGGUGGUGCAUGGUUGUCGUCCAGCUCGUGUCGUGAGAAUGUUGGGUUAAGUUCCCGCAACGAGCGCAACCCUUAUUAUCAGUUGCCAGCAUUAAGUUGGGCACUCUGGUGAGACUGCCGGUGACAAACCGGAGGAAGGUGGGGAUGACGUCAAAUCAUCAUGCCCCUUAUGAC